This 1301-nucleotide ribosomal RNA is filed under the name Limosilactobacillus fermentum. Its description in RNAcentral is "bacterial SSU rRNA". It matches the Rfam family "Bacterial small subunit ribosomal RNA", at positions 65 to 1344 of the family's 1533-position model. The record is from RNAcentral. Lineage: Bacteria; Bacillati; Bacillota; Bacilli; Lactobacillales; Lactobacillaceae.
GAUGGUGCUUGCACCUGAUUGAUUUUGGUCGCCAACGAGUGGCGGACGGGUGAGUAACACGUAGGUAACCUGCCCAGAAGCGGGGGACAACAUUUGGAAACAGAUGCUAAUACCGCAUAACAACGUUGUUCGCAUGAACAACGCUUAAAAGAUGGCUUCUCGCUAUCACUUCUGGAUGGACCUGCGGUGCAUUAGCUUGUUGGUGGGGUAACGGCCUACCAAGGCGAUGAUGCAUAGCCGAGUUGAGAGACUGAUCGGCCACAAUGGGACUGAGACACGGCCCAUACUCCUACGGGAGGCAGCAGUAGGGAAUCUUCCACAAUGGGCGCAAGCCUGAUGGAGCAACACCGCGUGAGUGAAGAAGGGUUUCGGCUCGUAAAGCUCUGUUGUUAAAGAAGAACACGUAUGAGAGUAACUGUUCAUACGUUGACGGUAUUUAACCAGAAAGUCACGGCUAACUACGUGCCAGCAGCCGCGGUAAUACGUAGGUGGCAAGCGUUAUCCGGAUUUAUUGGGCGUAAAGAGAGUGCAGGCGGUUUUCUAAGUCUGAUGUGAAAGCCUUCGGCUUAACCGGAGAAGUGCAUCGGAAACUGGAUAACUUGAGUGCAGAAGAGGGUAGUGGAACUCCAUGUGUAGCGGUGGAAUGCGUAGAUAUAUGGAAGAACACCAGUGGCGAAGGCGGCUACCUGGUCUGCAACUGACGCUGAGACUCGAAAGCAUGGGUAGCGAACAGGAUUAGAUACCCUGGUAGUCCAUGCCGUAAACGAUGAGUGCUAGGUGUUGGAGGGUUUCCGCCCUUCAGUGCCGGAGCUAACGCAUUAAGCACUCCGCCUGGGGAGUACGACCGCAAGGUUGAAACUCAAAGGAAUUGACGGGGGCCCGCACAAGCGGUGGAGCAUGUGGUUUAAUUCGAAGCUACGCGAAGAACCUUACCAGGUCUUGACAUCUUGCGCCAACCCUAGAGAUAGGGCGUUUCCUUCGGGAACGCAAUGACAGGUGGUGCAUGGUCGUCGUCAGCUCGUGUCGUGAGAUGUUGGGUUAAGUCCCGCAACGAGCGCAACCCUUGUUACUAGUUGCCAGCAUUAAGUUGGGCACUCUAGUGAGACUGCCGGUGACAAACCGGAGGAAGGUGGGGACGACGUCAGAUCAUCAUGCCCCUUAUGACCUGGGCUACACACGUGCUACAAUGGACGGUACAACGAGUCGCGAACUCGCGAGGGCAAGCAAAUCUCUUAAAACCGUUCUCAGUUCGGACUGCAGGCUGCAACUCGCCUGCACGAAGUCGGAAUCGCUAGUAAUCG